This 428-nucleotide ribosomal RNA is filed under the name uncultured bacterium. Its description in RNAcentral is "partial 16S ribosomal RNA". It matches the Rfam family "Bacterial small subunit ribosomal RNA", at positions 354 to 796 of the family's 1533-position model. The record is from RNAcentral.
GUGGGGAAUAUUAGGCAAUGGGCGAAAGCCUGACCUAGCAACGCCGCGUGAAGGAAGAAGGCCUUCGGGUUGUAAACUUCUUUUAUGAGGGACGAAGGACGUGACGGUACCUCAUGAAUAAGCCACGGCUAACUACGUGCCAGCAGCCGCGGUAAUACGUAGGUGGCGAGCGUUGUCCGGAUUUACUGGGUGUAAAGGGCGCGUAGGCGGACUGGCAAGUCAGAUGUGAAAUACAGGGGCUCAACCCCUGAACUGCAUUUGAAACUGUUGGUCUUGAGUAUCGGAGAGGCAAGCGGAAUUCCUAGGGUAGCGGUGAAAUGCGUAGAUAUUAGGAGGAACACCAGUGGCGAAGGCGGCUUGCUGGACGACAACUGACGCUGAGGCGCGAAAGCGUGGGGAGCAAACAGGAUUAGAUACCCCAGUAGUCC